Molecule: transfer RNA, 90 nt
Filed under: Verrucomicrobiia bacterium
Lineage: Bacteria; Pseudomonadati; Verrucomicrobiota; Verrucomicrobiia
Description: tRNA-Ser
Rfam family: tRNA
About the family: Transfer RNA (tRNA) molecules are approximately 80 nucleotides in length.
Source: RNAcentral
GGACAGGUGCCAGAGCGGUCGAAUGGGCACGCCUGGAAAGCGUGUGUACCUGCAAGGGUACCGAGGGUUCGAAUCCCUCCCUGUCCGCCA